RNAcentral lists this microRNA precursor (105 nucleotides) under Phaseolus vulgaris (common bean). The record is from RNAcentral. Lineage: Eukaryota; Viridiplantae; Streptophyta; Magnoliopsida; Fabales; Fabaceae.
AAAGUGGAGUGCAGCCAAGGGUGAUUUGCCGGCAACUAGUUCAGUUCUGUUGUUUCAUAUGUUUUCAGUUUCCGGCAAGUUUCUCUUGGCUACAUAUCGCUUUUU